Haemorhous mexicanus (house finch) is the source of this 279-nucleotide long non-coding RNA. RefSeq lists it as uncharacterized. The record is from RefSeq and is a predicted model, not a curated record. Lineage: Eukaryota; Metazoa; Chordata; Aves; Passeriformes; Fringillidae. The transcript is spliced from 2 exons.
GCACAGGGCGGGAUUGAGCAGGAGGGGAUUUCUGAGAUUAGCACCAUUCCGUAUUUUGUCUCCCGAGCCGCUGGGCAGGACCGAGAGGGAAUGCACUACGGAAUGCAGAUGCUUCUGGCAGGUGUGGAGGGAGGAGAUCUGCAUGACUGCUGGGUCUUCCUUGGCAUCCCCUAUUUGCCAGGUCAGAGCAUUUGACCUGGUGGCCUUUCACACCAUUGUAUUUCCAAAAGGAUUAAAAAUUUUUAAAACUAAAAUAAAACAAAUCAAAAUUGUAUGAAA